Equus caballus (horse) is the source of this 2473-nucleotide non-coding RNA. Lineage: Eukaryota; Metazoa; Chordata; Mammalia; Perissodactyla; Equidae. The record is from RefSeq and is a predicted model, not a curated record.
CGGAGCGGGAGCAGGCCCGGCACCGAUGGGCGGAAAACGGCUCCGGGGACGUUUUGGGGAGGGUCCCUCGGGGUCCAGGGCGGUGCCCCCAACACAGAUCCUCCCUCGCCCGCGCCUCGCCCCCUCGCCCUCCUGCGCUGGCCUGCCCCACCCCCAGUCCGCGAGGGGGACGCGGGGACCCGGCUCGGGGCCUCCGGGAUUCCCCCCUGGGCUGGGCCGAGCCCGCGGGUCCGCCCCGCCGAGCGCUCAAGCACCUGCUCGCAGAAGCCUCUCCCCCGAGCCGGGAGGGAGAAACCAGGCAGCCGUGACCUUUGAGCCCCUCCCUUCCCUUCUCUAAGAUGGGGUCACAUUCGCGACGGGCGUGGGAGGGUCGAUGAAGUGAUGCGGGGAGAGCAGGCUGGGGUAAAGGUGGGGAUCGGCGGCUCCUGAGGUCCACUCCCACCAGCCUGCACCCCAACCCAGGGGCGCCAGGCCCUUCCCCGGCCUCGCCACGCCGCUUCCCACCUCCCAACCUUUGUUCCUCUCAGGCCUCUGCCUAGAAGGUCUUUUCCAUCCUUUUCGCCCCAUCUGCCUGUCUUGUUGACUGAUGUAAUCCCAGGGCACCUCUUGGUGAGGUUCCUGCAGCACACACUCAGUGCAUAUGUGUUCUCCGUGCAGGAGCAGGUGCAGGAGUUCCUGAUCCCGUCAGGCUCCCCCAUCACUCGACCCUCACCAUCUGGAAGAAGUAGCCUGCCUGGAGUGGUUUUCCUGAACCCUGAACCAGAAUUGCCAGUUGCUGGACCGGGAUGGGCCUGGAGUCCCCAUCUCAGGUGGGAGAAGGUGGCUCUGGUUAGUGCAGGGCCCUUUGGAGAUGACAUGAAGUGCCUGUAUUGGGACUGGGCAGUGAGCGCAUUAGACGUCAAAUGUAGAGUUAAUCUAAGCACACAUAUGCACAUAUGCAUGAAAUCCAGGCCUCCACUGCCGACAAAUCAUAAAGCCAGGCUUCUUUCUUACCUAUCCCCUAGGAGUCAAAGGGGGUAUAAGGAAAGACAGUCCUCGUUGCCCCAACCAGGUUAGGCCUGUACCAGGGCAGACAGGCAGUCAGGGUCAGACAGGACUGGGCUUUUAAUGCCCAAAGUGUAGGAAUAUGUCCUAGUACUAGUAGCUGACAUUGGCCCUGAGCUCCCAAGGACUGUCCCAAAGCCAUCCAGGGGCAGGGAGGGAGGCCCCACAGAGCGGGCAAGAAAGCUGAUCCCUGACAAUGCUCACCGGAGAUGGGGCUGAGCAGGAGGUGGUGAUCAACUGAAAGGCAAGAGUGUCUUUGCAGGACUUUGAAGGACACCGGGAGGCCCCACCCGCCUUUGUAUUGCCCAAGGAGCUGGGUGUGAGGAAGUGUACAACAUUGCUCACCAGCCCUUGGGAUGACUCACCCCUGGCCCAGCCAGGUGGGGUGGUGUAGGGGCACUAGCUGGUGUGCCCCCUUUAAAACCAUGUGUCCUUGAGGCUCCUGUCUGGGCUAUGUGCCAGCACUAACGAUGAUAACAGUCCUGGGCUUGGCCAACCCAGCUGCUUUCUCAUGGAAUAGUUAGCACAAAGACCCUCGAGGUCUGAGGAAACACAGAGGCCCUCCAGUUGGGCGGGGGGAGGGAUGUCUCUGGUCCUGGGAAUGCAGGUCAUAGACGGAUGAUCCCCCUUGGCAAGCACACAGCCUUUGUUCCUCUGCCUACUUAAACAAGCUUCUCUUGGGGGGCAGUAGCCGUGCACAGAUCUAUGUCCAGCUGGCUGCCCCGGGACUCUCUCCCUGUACGUAAGUCCCAAUAAAUCUGCACGUCUUGCCUGCUGUCUCUGGGUCAUUUCUUCCGUCUCUUGGUACGGUACCCUGCUGCCUUAGCCCAGCUGGGCAUGUGGACCUACAAGUGGGAGAAAGGAGCCAACAAUAGGAUCUCCAUAGAGGGGUUGGUGCUGUGUUGGGGACUUUUGGGCACCAUGUGUGAUGCUCUCUGCAGCCCAGGAAGGGUGGGGUGUUAGAAAAAUUCAUUUUUAAACUGUCAAAAUAGCUUUAUUGGGUUUUCUGAUUAUUUAAAGAACAUGUGCUUGGUGUAGCCAUUUCAAGUUUAUAAAAAUAAGUGUAAAGAAGCAAGUAGAAGUCCUGCAUCUCGAAUCCUUAAUGCCAAAUGAAUGGCUGCCUUCCUGUCCUGCAUCUCUUCGUGCAGCAGUCCAAGUGCACAGAAUCAUGGCGUAGCGGCACUGUGGGUGAUGGAAUGGAAAGAAAGGAGCCUGGACUGCCAACCUCGGACUUGUUUUACAUAAGAGCAAGAAAACAUCUCUCUUUUCUCAGCCAUUGUUAUUUGAAGGGGUUUCUGUAUAUAAAGCUGAACUUAAUCAUUACAAAUUCAAGGACAGACCCUUAGAAGCUGGAUUGCUGGGUCAGCAUUACUGCAAAUGUAUAUUUUUGUAAACCUGUAGAAUUAAAAUUUUAGUUUUAAAAUUAAAA